UUUGUUUGUCUGUUUUGAUUCUGAAAAUUUUCCCAUGAAAAUAUUGAAAGGUCAAUUGUUGGUGAAUUUUUCUUUCUUACUACCUGUUUUCUGAAAAUUUCUCAGAUUUGCAGCUCAUUGUUAUAAAACAAUGGAUUUGGGAUCCUUUACAUUCUUAUUUUUGUCAUUGAAAUUUAACAAGUUUAUCUAUGCAUAAAUCCUGUACUUUCAGUUCUAAAAGGGCAUGAAGGUUUCAUUCUUGACAAGCAUCACUUUUGCAUGUUCUUAUCAAUACUUCUUUUUUUUUUUUGAAAGAAAGUCAUUGAUGUAGGACGGAUGGCCGAAGAAAUCGAGGAACAAAUUGAUCGUUGCAGGUCCAAACCCAGUUUGCUGCAGAUUUGGCGUUCGGUGUCCGAAUGACUAUUAUUAUACCUUUCUGGAAGCGGAACUGCCCAACGAAUAAGACUCGCCGUUUCGUCACGACGUAUGGGCUUUUUCGGCCAUCCGAGUUUGUUUCGGACCUUAAAUCAGCGUUUUAUUAGUUUUUGGGAUUUUAUGUUUCCUAGUUCUUUUCGGAUUGUGUUUUGAUUCAAUCCUUGGGCUUUUAGGUUUGGUUGUUAGUCGCCCUAGGGUUUUGUUUUCCAUAUAUAAGCACCCUUUUGGGUAGCUGAGAGGCAGUUUAUUAAUUAUAAUUCAGAAUUUAAGAGUUUUACUCUUAGUCCUUGGCGCGCUCCAGGUUUUGGUCCUAUAGAGUUCUUCGCUUGAAGACUCUCCACAUAUUAGGGUUUAACGCUGGUUAGCCCCCAUACUCCUGCUGCGUCAAGUGGUAUCAGAGCCAGACGUUCCUGUCUCUUUUAUCCUUGAUCAUGGGUGACGCACCGAUUACUAGAGCAGACCGAGAAGGUAUCCUAGAAGGUGUUACUGCGAAUUUUACCGUAGCCCUUGCUACGUUGACUAAUCAGGUGAACGAAUUGAAGACUGAUAAUAACAAUAGGAAGCGUGGAGAAGGCAGAGCUAUUCCUCAACAUAGGGUUCCACGAGGGAGAGGAACCACAAUUGCUAGCAGCUCUGAGUCUGAUUCAGAAGAUGAAGUUGUUGAUCUGGCGCAAUUAGGGCAAGAUGAUAAGGAUUUCAGGAUGAAGGUUGAUAUCCCUUUCUUUAAUGGGAUGAUGAACGUGGAGGAAUUUCUGGAUUGGCAAAUUGAAGUGGACAGAUUCAUAGAGCAUAUGAAUGUCGCGGAACAUAAGCAAGUGAAGUUGGCGGCAGCUCGUCUCAAGAGCACUGCGGCAGUUUGGUGGGAUAAGUUGGCAUUGACGAGAUUGAGACAGAGAAAAAAACCCGUCAAGAAUUGGCGGAGGAUGAAACAGUUGAUGACAGAACGAUUCCUGCCAGAGGACUAUGAACAGAUUCUUUACAGGAUGUACCUAGAUUGUGUUCAAGGGGCGAAGACUGUAACAGAGUAUACCGUUGAGUUUGUGCGUCUUUCUGAGCGCAAUGACUUAGGCGAAUCUGAAGGGCAGAAGGUUGCUCGGUACAUCAGUGGGUUGAGACCUUCCAUACAAGAGAAGAUUGGCUUACAAACUAUGUGGUCUAUGACUGAGGCUGCAAGUUUGGCGAUAAAGGCGGAGCUGAUGGAGAGAUCCCCUAGAGUUUCUUUUCAGUUUCCAAGAUUCACUAGUCAGAGGAGUACUAAAGUCGGGAGUUCUGUUGGAGAUAAAGGGAAAACAAUGACGCAGAAUACGAGUGGAAUGACCACUAGGGCUUCUAGUGCUGUUAACAAAGAGGGUGGCGUUUCUGGUUUUGGCAGUACUAGCAGGGCAACUCGGGCAGCACCUGUGCAGCGACCUUUUAACCCUUAUACAAGGCCUUUCCCAGGUACUUGUUAUAGGUGUUUACAGCCUGGUCAUAGAUCCAACGAGUGUACUGCCCCUCCGAAGGUGGUUAAAGCAGUUCAGGCUUUAGUCGAGGCCUGUGAGGGGGAAGACGAGGCGGAGGAAGGAGGCGAUGACUAUGAAGGGGCUGAAUUUGCAGUGGAAGAUUCUCCAGAAAAGGUGAACAUUGUAUUGCAGAGAAUUCUGUUGUCUCCCAGGAAGGAGGACGGUCAAUGUAAGAACCUUUUCAGAUCGCAUUGUUCUGUCAACAACAAGGUGUGUAAUUUGAUUGUGGAUAAUGGGAGUUGUCGAAAACUUUGUUGCUGAAAAGUUAGGUAGAGUAUUUGCAGUUGCCAAAAGAGGCCCAUGUGAUGCCCUAUUCUCUGGGUUGGGUGAAGAAAGGUCCUCAAGUGCGUGUAACCAGAACCUGUAAAGUGUCUGUUUCGAUUGGUAAGCAUUAUAGGGAUGAAGUAGUUUGUGAUGUUCUGGACAUGGAUGCUUGUCAUAUUCUGUUUGGGCGCCCUUGGCAGUAUGAUGUUGAUGUUACUUACAGGGGUCGGGAUAAUGUGAUGUUGUUUAUGUGGGGUGAAUUUAAGAUUGCUAUGGCUCCUGUGGUGAACUUUGUCAAACCUGUAGAAAAGAAGAGGGAGAAUUUUCUAAUCUUGUCCAAGAAUGAACGAGAGAUAGAGGAAGACUUUAAGGAGUCAGAGUUGUGUUGUCCUGUGGUGAUUAAGGGGUUGUUUAGUGCAGAAAAAGAACCUGUGGAGAUCCCUGAAGAAGUACAACAGUUGCUUAAGGGAUUUGAGGAGUUGAUUUCUGAUGAGCUCCGAGAUAAAACUAUUGCCAGCUUGGAGAAACGGUAUUUUUGGCCCCAUUUGAGGAGGGAUGCCACGGCAAUUGUCCGGAAGUGCUAUGUUUGUCAGGUUUCUAAAGGUCAGUCUCAAAAUACUGGUCUUUAUACACCUUUACCUGUUCCUGAAGACAUUUGGCAGGAUCUUUCAAUGGAUUUUGUGCUGGGUUUGCCGCGUACACAGAGGGGAGCGGAUUCUGUAUUUGUGGUUGUUGACAGGUUUUCUAAGAUGUCGCACUUCAUUGCUUGUAAGAAGACCUCGGAUGCUACCCACAUAGCCAAGCUAUUUUUCAGGGAGGUCGUGCGUUUGCAUGGGGUUCCACGAUCUAUCACUUCUAACAGAGAUUCGAAAUUCCUUAGUCAUUUCUGGAUCACUUUGUGGCGGAUGUUUGGGACAGCUUUGAACAAGAGUAGCACUGCGCAUCCUCAGACUGAUGGGCAGACUGAGCUUACCAACCGAACUCUAGGUAAUAUGGUCAGGAGUGUAUGUGGAGACAAACUAAAAAGUUGGGAUAAUGCUUUGCCACAGGUGGAGUUUGCUUACAAUAGUGCUGUGCAUAGUGCUACUGGAAAAUCAUCUUUUUCAUUGGUGUAUACUGCUGUUCCAAAACAUGUGGUGGAUUUAGUCAAGCUGCCACGGGGUCAUGGUGUUAGUGUUGCUGUUGAAAAUAUGGCCAAGGAAGUGCAAAAAGUUCGUGAGUCAGUUAGGGCUAAACUGGAAGCCACUAAUGCAAAGAAUAAGGCUGCAGCUGACAAGCAUCGCCGGGUUAAGUUAUUCAAGGAAGGUGAUGACGUUAUGGUGUUUUUGCGGAAGGAGAGGUUUCCUGUUGGUACCUACAAUUAGCUGCAACCCAAGAAGUAUGGUCCUUUCAAGGUUCUACGGAAGAUCAAUGACAAUGCUUAUGUUGUUGCACUUCCUAAUUCUAUGUCCAUUUCCAAUACCUUUAAUGUGGCUGAUAUUUAUGAAUACCAUGCGGAUGAGGCUCUUUAUCCUGUUGAGAACUCGGGGUCGAGUUCUUCGGAGGUGGAGGAGACUGAUGUAGGACGGAUGGCCGAAGAAAUUGAGGAACAAAUUGAUCGUUGCAGGUCCAAACCCGGUUUGCUACAGAUUUGGCGUUUGGUGUCCGAAUGACUAUUAUUAUACCUUUCUGGAAGUGGAACGGCCCAACGAACAAGACUAGUCGCUUUGCCAUGACGUAUGGGCUUUUUCGGCCAUCCGAGUUUGUUUCGGACCUCAAAUCAGCGUUUUAUUAGUUUUUGGGAUUUUAUGUUUCCUAGUUCUUUUCGGAUUGUGUUUUGAUUCAAUCCUUGGGCUUUUAGGUUUGGUUGUUAGUCGCCCUAGGGUUUUGUUUUCCAUAUAUAAGCACCCUUUUGGGUAGCUGAGAGGCAGUUUAUCAAUUAUAAUUCAGAAUUUAAGAGUUUUACUCUUAGUCCCUGGCGUGCUCCAGGUUUUGAUCCUAUAGAGUUCUUCGCUUGAAGACUCUCCACAUAUUAGGGUUUAACGCUGAUUAGCCCCCAUACUCCUGCUGCGUCAGUCAUACCAAUUGAAGGUUAGUUUAGUUAAUGUAUCAUUUUCCUAAGUGUCGAUUGAUAUUGUCUUAUACUAUUGUUAAAUUUGAAGGUACUAUCACCCUUAUUUUGCAUGACUACAUAUGCUGCUCUUAGGCUGAUCGAUCCUUGCAACAGAAAGAGAGUUUGAUAUCGCAUCGUUUAAGAGAAUUGAUAGUAAGGUUUUAAAACUUUUAUCCCUAGGUUGUUUUGUAG
This 4464-nucleotide long non-coding RNA is filed under the name Fragaria vesca (wild strawberry). RNAcentral describes it as "long non-coding RNA (FVES_LNC002531)". Lineage: Eukaryota; Viridiplantae; Streptophyta; Magnoliopsida; Rosales; Rosaceae. The record is from RNAcentral.